Long non-coding RNA from Mytilus californianus (California mussel), 709 nucleotides. RefSeq lists it as uncharacterized. Lineage: Eukaryota; Metazoa; Mollusca; Bivalvia; Mytilida; Mytilidae. The transcript has 2 exons. The record is from RefSeq and is a predicted model, not a curated record.
UUGAUUGUUUUUAUCUCAAACGGUUUUAACCGAGAUAAACUAUAUAUGUAUACAUAUGUUGUUGUAUUAGAUAUAUUUAUGUGGUUUGGAAAUAUUUAAAAAGUUUGAUUUAAACUUUUAGAUUUAAUAUGGGAAGUAGUGCAUCCCGAAAGAAUGAAUGGCUAUAUGAAUCAACAACAAUAAGAGAAGAGCAUUCAGAUGGAAGUGCUUUACAUAGAAACAAUACCAGAUUGGGUUUCAAAGGAAAGGAAUCAGAAUUUGGAGCAGGACUAAAAGCAGAGUUACUUGGGUUAGGAAAAGUCAAUGCUGGAAAUACCAAAAUGAAAGCUAUAUCCAAUGGUGAUUAAUGCACAUAUGGGUGUCUUAUGAAAUAAAUUUAAUUGUGUUAAUAUUUGUAUAUUUUAUUUUAAAUUGUAAAGUUGAAGCCUUAGAUGUAAUCGUUUCCCAUAAAAGAGAAGACCCAAAAGAUACCAAAGGGAUAUUCAAGCUCGUUAGUCUAAGACAAACCGACAACCCCAUGGAAAGAAACGAAAAACUACCAAAAGAAAAACAACACAAGAUAACUUGUUGUACACUGAUAUACUGUUUCAGUGACAUUUUUGUGUGUAAUUUGUAAUUGAUAUCCUUAUCAUGAUUUUUACAAAAAAUAUUGUUUUUUGGAACAUGCAGGUUUUUUUAAUCUAUCAAAAAUAAACUUUAUUUCAAAGUA